Colletotrichum liriopes is the source of this 128-nucleotide non-coding RNA. NCBI's taxonomy places the organism in Eukaryota, Fungi, Ascomycota, Sordariomycetes, Glomerellales, Glomerellaceae. The record is from the annotation of a GenBank genome assembly.
GCCCGGCUAGCUCAAUCGGUAGAGCGUGAGACUCUUAAUCUCAAGGUUGUGGGUUCGACCCGUAAGUUCAAACAUCGCACCAGCAUCUUGAUCAUCGUUACUAACAAGCACUAGCCACGUCGGGCUCA